CACGGAGUUAGCCGAUCCUUAUUCGUACAGUACAUUCAGAUAGUUAGCUCGUAACUAUAGUUAUUCCCGUAUAAAAGCAGUUUACAACCCUGAGGGCAGUCGUCCUGCACGCGGCAUGGCUGGUUCAGAGUUCCCUCCAUUGACCAAUAUCCCUUACUGCUGCCUCCCGUAGGAGUCUGGCCCGUGUCUCAGUGCCAGUGUGGGGGUUUCUCCUCUCAGAGCCCCUAGACAUCAUAGCCUCGGUAGGCCGUUACCCGUACCGACCAGCUAAUGUCACGCGAGCCCAUCUGUAUCCUAUGAAUAUUUAAUAUGAUAACGAUGCCGAAAUCAUAUCACAUACGGGGUUAAUCCGACUUUCGCCGGGCUAUACCGUAGAUAAAGGUAGGUUGCUCACGCGUUACGCACCAUCCGCCACUCUCACCACCUCCAGCAAGCUGGAAAUGGACUCCGUUCGACUUGCAUGUAUUAGGCCUGCCGCUAGCGUUCACU
This 489-nucleotide ribosomal RNA is filed under the name uncultured Sphingobacteriaceae bacterium. Its description in RNAcentral is "partial 16S ribosomal RNA". The record is from RNAcentral. Lineage: Bacteria; Pseudomonadati; Bacteroidota; Sphingobacteriia; Sphingobacteriales; Sphingobacteriaceae.